This 403-nucleotide ribosomal RNA is filed under the name uncultured bacterium. Its description in RNAcentral is "bacterial SSU rRNA". It matches the Rfam family "Bacterial small subunit ribosomal RNA", at positions 466 to 866 of the family's 1533-position model. The record is from RNAcentral.
AAAGUGACGGUACCUGCAGAAAAAGCACCGGCUAACUACGUGCCAGCAGCCGCGGUAAUACGUAGGGUGCAAGCGUUAUCCGGAAUUAUUGGGCGUAAAGAGCUCGUAGGCGGUUUGUCGCGUCUGCUGUGAAAUCCCGAGGCUCAACCUCGGGCCUGCAGUGGGUACGGGCAGACUAGAGUGCGGUAGGGGAGAUUGGAAUUCCUGGUGUAGCGGUGGAAUGCGCAGAUAUCAGGAGGAACACCGAUGGCGAAGGCAGAUCUCUGGGCCGUAACUGACGCUGAGGAGCGAAAGCGUGGGGAGCAAACAGGAUUAGAUACCCUGGUAGUCCACCCCGUAAACGUUGGGAACUAGAUGUGGGGUCCUUUCCACGGAUUCCGUGACGCAGCUAACGCACUCAGUA